UGAGCAACCUGCCCUUGACCCUGGAAUAACAGCUGGAAACAGCUGCUAAUACCGGAUACGACCUCCGAUGGCAUCAUCUGGAGGUGGAAAGCUCCGACGGUCAAGGAUGGGCUCGCGGCCUAUCAGCUUGUUGGUGAGGUAACGGCUCACCAAGGCUUCGACGGGUAGCCGGCCUGAGAGGGCGACCGGCCACACUGGGACUGAGAUACCGGCCCAGACCUCCCGUAAGGGACGG
This 235-nucleotide ribosomal RNA is filed under the name uncultured bacterium. Its description in RNAcentral is "partial 16S ribosomal RNA". It matches the Rfam family "Bacterial small subunit ribosomal RNA", at positions 118 to 348 of the family's 1533-position model. The record is from RNAcentral.